RNAcentral lists this microRNA precursor (124 nucleotides) under Picea abies (Norway spruce). RNAcentral describes it as "miR3693j stem-loop (pab-MIR3693j)". Lineage: Eukaryota; Viridiplantae; Streptophyta; Pinopsida; Pinales; Pinaceae. The record is from miRBase by way of RNAcentral.
GGGUGCACAUGACUGCUCAUAGAUAGGAUUUUGCUCAUAAUCCCAUGACAGCAGAUCUGUUUGUUUAAUCUACAAACGCCCAAAUAUGAGCAAAAUCCCAUCUACGAGCAGUUCAUGACCGCCC